AUUGAACGCUGGCGGCAGGCCUAACACAUGCAAGUCGAACGGUAACAGGAAGCAGCUUGCUGCUUCGCUGACGAGUGGCGGACGGGUGAGUAAUGUCUGGGAAGCUGCCUGAUGGAGGGGGAUAACUACUGGAAACGGUAGCUAAUACCGCAUAAUGUCGCAAGACCAAAGAGGGGGACCUUCGGGCCUCUUGCCAUCGGAUGUGCCCAGAUGGGAUUAGCUUGUUGGUGGGGUAACGGCUCACCAAGGCGACGAUCCCUAGCUGGUCUGAGAGGAUGACCAGCCACACUGGAACUGAGACACGGUCCAGACUCCUAAGGGAGGCAGCAGUGGGGAAUAUUGCACAAUGGGCGCAAGCCUGAUGCAGCCAUGCCGCGUGUAUGAAGAAGGCCUUCGGGUUGUAAAGUACUUUCAGCGGGGAGGAAGGGAGUAAAGUUAAUACCUUUGCUCAUUGACGUUACCCGCAGAAGAAGCACCGGCUAACUCCGUG
RNAcentral lists this ribosomal RNA (490 nucleotides) under uncultured bacterium. RNAcentral describes it as "partial 16S ribosomal RNA". It matches the Rfam family "Bacterial small subunit ribosomal RNA", at positions 30 to 507 of the family's 1533-position model. The record is from RNAcentral.